AGAAUCAACGCUGGCGGCGUGCCUAACACAUGCAAGUCGAACGAGAAAGGGUAGCAAUACCUGAGUAAAGUGGCGCACGGGUGAGUAACACGUGACUAACCUACCUUUUAGUGGGGGAUAACCUAGGGAAACCUGGGCUAAUACCGCAUAAUACUUACGAGUCAAAGCAGCAAUGCGCUGAAAGAGGGGGUCGCGGUCGAUUAGUUAGUUGGCAGGGUAAUGGCCUACCAAGACUGUGAUCGAUAUCCGGCCUGAGAGGGCGCACGGACACACUGGAACUGAAACACGGUCCAGACUCCUACGGGAGGCAGCAGUGGGAAUUUUGCGCAAUGGGGGAAACCCUGACGCAGCAACGCCGCGUGGAGGAUGAAGUCCCUUGGGACGUAAACUCCUUUCGAUCGGGACGAUAAUGACGGUACCGGAAGAAGAAGCCCCGGCUAACUUCGUGCCAGCAGCCGC
This 459-nucleotide ribosomal RNA is filed under the name uncultured bacterium. RNAcentral describes it as "SSU rRNA". It matches the Rfam family "Bacterial small subunit ribosomal RNA", at positions 26 to 518 of the family's 1533-position model. The record is from RNAcentral.